This 254-nucleotide ribosomal RNA is filed under the name uncultured bacterium. RNAcentral describes it as "partial 16S ribosomal RNA". It matches the Rfam family "Bacterial small subunit ribosomal RNA", at positions 524 to 776 of the family's 1533-position model. The record is from RNAcentral.
UACGAAGGGGGCUAGCGUUGUUCGGAAUUACUGGGCGUAAAGCGCACGUAGGCGGAUUGUUAAGUCAGGGGUGAAAUCCUGGAGCUCAACUCCAGAACUGCCUUUGAUACUGGCGAUCUUGAGUCCGGGAGAGGUGAGUGGAACUGCGAGUGUAGAGGUGAAAUUCGUAGAUAUUCGCAAGAACACCAGUGGCGAAGGCGGCUCACUGGCCCGGUACUGACGCUGAGGUGCGAAAGCGUGGGGGAGCAAACAGG